Molecule: ribosomal RNA, 850 nt
Filed under: uncultured bacterium
Lineage: Bacteria
Description: bacterial SSU rRNA
Rfam family: Bacterial small subunit ribosomal RNA
Source: RNAcentral
GCAGUCGAGCGACUGAUUAGAAGCUUGCUUCUAUGACGUUAGCGGCGGCCGGGUGAGUAACACGUGGGCAACCUGCCUGUAAGACUGGGAUAACUUCGGGAAACCGAAGCUAAUACCGGAUAGGAUCUUCUCCUUCAUGGGAGAUGAUUGAAAGAUGGUUUCGGCUAUCACUUACAGAUGGGCCCGCGGUGCAUUAGCUAGUUGGUGAGGUAACGGCUCACCAAGGCAACGAUGCAUAGCCGACCUGAGAGGGUGAUCGGCCACACUGGGACUGAGACACGGCCCAGACUCCUACGGGAGGCAGCAGUAGGGAAUCUUCCGCAAUGGACGAAAGUCUGACGGAGCAACGCCGCGUGAGUGAUGAAGGCUUUCGGGUCGUAAAACUCUGUUGUUAGGGAAGAACAAGUACAAGAGUAACUGCUUGUACCUUGACGGUACCUAACCAGAAAGCCACGGCUAACUACGUGCCAGCAGCCGCGGUAAUACGUAGGUGGCAAGCGUUAUCCGGAAUUAUUGGGCGUAAAGCGCGCGCAGGCGGUUUCUUAAGUCUGAUGUGAAAGCCCACGGCUCAACCGUGGAGGGUCAUUGGAAACUGGGGAACUUGAGUGCAGAAGAGAAAAGCGGAAUUCCACGUGUAGCGGUGAAAUGCGUAGAGAUGUGGAGGAACACCAGUGGCGAAGGCGGCUUUUUGGUCUGUAACUGACGCUGAGGCGCGAAAAGCGUGGGGAGCAAACAGGAUUAGAUACCCUGGUAGUCCACGCCGUAAACGAUGAGUGCUAAAGUGUUAGAGGGGUUUCCGCCCUUUAGUGCUGCAGCUAACGCAUUUAAGCACUCCGCCUGGGGGAGUACG